CAGUCGCCGCGGGAAUACGUAGGUGGCAAGCGUUGUCCGGAAUUAUUGGGCGUAAAGGGCUCGCAGGCGGUUUCUUAAGUCUGAUGUGAAAGCCCCCGGCUCAACCGGAGAGGGUCAUUGGAAACUGGGAAACCUGAGUGCAGAAGAGGAGAGUGGAAUUCCACGUGUAGCGGUGAAAUGCGUAGAGAUGUGGAGGAACACCAGUGGCGAAGGCGACUCUCUGGUCUGUAACUGACGCUGAGGAGCGAAAGCGUGGGGAGCGAACAGGAUUAGAUACCCGCGUAGUCCCUGUCUCUUACAC
Molecule: ribosomal RNA, 301 nt
Filed under: uncultured bacterium
Lineage: Bacteria
Description: partial 16S ribosomal RNA
Rfam family: Bacterial small subunit ribosomal RNA
Source: RNAcentral